GAUGAAGAACGUAGCGAAAUGCGAUAAGUAAUGCGAAUUGCAGAAUUCCAGUGAGUCAUCGAAUCUUUGAACGCACAUUGCGCCCUUUGGUAUUCCGAAGGGCAUGCCUGUUCGAGCGUCAUUAUCACCCCUCAAGCCCUCGGCUUGGUGUUGGACGGUUUGGUGGAGGCCCCCUCGGGGGCUCCUGCCCCUCCCAAAGACAAUGACGGCGGCCUCGUUGGACCCCCGGUACACUGAGUUCUUCACGGGACACGUAUCGGACACAUGGGUUUACGGGACACGGUCUGCCUCCCCUCAGGGAGAAUCUUUCUAAGGUUGACCUCGGAUCAGGUAGGGAUACCCGCUGAACUUAAGCAUAUCAAUAAGCGGGGA
This 372-nucleotide unclassified non-coding RNA is filed under the name soil metagenome. RNAcentral's name for it is "partial contains 5.8S ribosomal RNA, internal transcribed spacer 2, and large subunit ribosomal RNA". The stretch from base 1 to 121 matches the Rfam family "5.8S ribosomal RNA", at positions 35 to 154 of the family's 154-position model. The record is from RNAcentral.